AAUUUAAGGGCGCGUUUGGUUCGCACUAUGAAAGAUUACUUGGAGUAAAAUGAUAUUCGAGAAUCUUAUUCCUAUUCAUCCUAUUACUAGGAAUAUAGUAUUUCGGUGUUUUGUUCGUAUGGUCAUAUUAUUUGGUCAAUGUUAUUUAAGAUUACGAAAAAUAUAUAAUUAAUUAAUUUAUUUUUUUAAUUAUUUUUAAAUAAUACUAUAAAAAAAUUUCAACAUUUUUUAGAAAAAAGAGAGAGAGAAUAUAGAUUAGAAAAAGAGAGUAUAAUUAAAGAAAUAGGAAGAGAAAUAGAGUCGAGAUUAGAGAGAAUGAGAGGGUUAAGAUUUUAGAAAAAGAGGGGGAGAAAUAGCUUAAUUUAGAGAGAGAAAAAGAGUUGAAGUUUAGAGAGAAAAAGAUAAGUUUAGAGAGAGAUAUGAGGUUAGAGUGUAAAGAAAAAUAAUACCAACUAGCCGGCGGGUAGGAAGAAAGAAAGAGAUUAGACAUAUUAUAAUUACCCUAAUCCAUUAAUAUAAGGAUACCCACCCUCCCUCAAAGAAAUGAGAUUAGUACUUUGGGAUGCAUCUCAUUCCCAAGUAAAUCUAAUAUUACCAACUAGAUUACUUGGUGCGUUUAGCCAAACACCGUCAUAUUUUUUUAUUCUUAUUGGAUUACUAGGAAUCUUAAAAAGAUAGCGCGAACCAAACGCACCCUAAGUGUUAUAACAAAUGGCAUUUCUUGGAAUCGUAUAGAAUUGGAAUAAAUUCCGUCUUUGUAAUUUCAUUCAUGUUUCUUAACAAUUCACAUGCUUUAUUGAAUAACAGACUUUGAUGGGUGGCGGCGGUUCAUUCUCUUCUGGUGGUCCUGGGAAGGGAAUGCAUUCUCGACUAUGUGAGUUGCUACUUCAUACUUUUCUUUGGAAGAUCCUUAACUUUCCUGGUGCUCUUUAUAUUGUUUUGUGUUACUCAAGAUUUUUCUAAAUAUGUCUACUGUUAUAGAUUUGGGGCUUUGUGAGAAUUAAUGAUGAAAAUUAUUAUGUAAAAUGAUUUUAUUUUUUUUAAUCUGAAGCAAGGAAGCAUUUUUAUCUACAUUUUUUCUCACUUUUUUAUGAGCGUCAUCCGAUUAGAAGAGUGAAUUUAUGUGGUACUCAAUUAGGCAGGGUUUUUAGCUGGUUGUUCGAACAUAGUACUUUUUCUCUAAUUUGAAUGGCAGUUCAUUUAGUCUGUUUCUUCCACUUUACAAAGUUAUCAUUUGUCUGCGGGGCAAUGUUUUCUUGUUGAAAUGACUUAAAGAGCACAUUUAUUGAUGCACAGAUCUUCGCGUCCUGAAUAUGUAUCAGCAAGUGCGAUCCUUCUCAGCAUUUAGUAGCGUCUACAACGACAGUGGCCUCUUUGGCAUCAUUUCAACAACCGUAAGACAUUAUUAUGUUAUAUCUAGUCUUAUUGAAAUUUUUGUUGUUUGGCCUCUUCGACCGUCUUACAAAUUUAGUCAGUAUAGGAAGCAAAAAAUUCCAAAAAAAAGACUCUUCUUCCUGAACCUGAAAAGGCAAAAGAAAAAAUGAAAAUGGUCUAUUAUAGUUUUACCACAAGGAAAUAAAGUUAAAAACACUUCCUAAGAUUUUUUUUGCAUCCUGAAUGAUCAAGUUUAGUUGUUAUGGUGGCAUUACUCGUAACACUGAAGUGAAUUGGUGACACAGAGUAAAUUUGUUCAAACUAAAGUAUUAAUUCAUGUUGAUUUACGUGGUGUGAUGGUCGAUAAAAUGGGCAUAAUAGUCUAUACCAAUGGGCAGUAAACUUUAGAUUGCUUUUGAACUUUAGUUUUGUAAACUUUUUUUUUAACUUCGAAGGAAUAUGCAGGGAUCAAACUUUGUUGAAAAAGCAGUUGAUGUUGCGACUAAUGAAUUGCUUGCUAUAGCAACCCCCGGUCAGGGUAGGAUACCGACGUACUUAAACUAUUCUCUCUCUCUCUUGCUACCUGUAGACAUCUUUAUGCAGAUAACUCAGUCCGGUCUAAACUUUUACAUGUUUUCAGUGACUGAACUUGAACUUACUUGGGCGAAAAAUGCAACUAAAUCAGCUGUUUUCAUGAACCUAGAAUCCAGGGUAAUAAAAAGCUGCUCCUACCCAUACUUGGUUUUUCUUGGUUUUCAUAGUAAACUUCUUUUGUUGUUUUUCUUUAAUUUUCUUUCAGGCAAUCGUUACAGAGGACAUAGGAAGGCAAAUUUUGACUUACAGGUGCAGGUAAAUUUGCUCUUAUCUCUUCUUUUGGACAUUUUUGGAGAAACUCCAGUAUUUAGGCUCAUCAUGUUCAUCAGUAUUAUUUAUUUAAUUUUUCAGGAAACCAGUCGAGCAUUUUCUAAAAUGUAUAGAUGAACUAAAUCUCAACGACCUCACUACAAUGGCUCAAAGAAUUUUAUCUUCACCGCUCACAAUGGCAUGCUGGGGAGAUGGUUAGCUUCUCUGUUCCUCCUUUUUUCUUUUUCUUUUUUUUUAGGUAUUCUCUUGCCGUCUUCAAACAUUUUAAUUCUAUAUUCAGUUUAUUGGUGAAACAAUCACUGAUGUUCACUAACAAAACUUUUGCGCUUUACGCAGUUGACUCUUUUCCUCCUAUGAUUCUAUCGGUUGGCGUUUUCAGUCGUAGCACUGGUAAAAGGCGAAGUUAAUUUGAUAAGUAUUGGGAGUUGUGUGGAAAAUUCAUCUGCUAGUAAUUGCAGUGUUAUAGAAAAUAUUUCGCGAUGGCUAUCUCUGACAUUCAUUGGCUUCAAAAGUGGAAGAGCUUCAGCAUUCGAGUAAAGGAGGUGUAGAUGCUGCUAACAGCGAUCAAAUGAUUUAUAUCUCUCAUCUGAGAAAGUCGGCAGUGUGCAGCAAUGAACUGAUGAAAAUUUUGUUUCUUCCUUUUUUUUCCAACUAACUUUAAUUCCAUUAAAAACUCCAAGUUGCUGUUGUUUGUUCUUUUCAAAUUUGCCUGAUUAGCUUUUUGUGUUUUGUAUUGCCCAAACAAUUUCUCUGUUUAUAGUAAAUUCUUGCUCUGUUUCAAAGUUUUGAGGUAUGGAAUGAUUACUACUCGUGACAGUAGGGAGCCUGCUAAACUGGUGGAUGAAUUGCAAAAGUGCAUAGUUCUUUUUGUUUACAUGACGAGUAAAAGUCUCAUGCUCUGCAACGAGAAUAAUGCUAUACUAGCGUAGUAAUUCGCGCGAUGCAACGGAUAAAUAAUUAAAAAUAAAAUAGAAAGUGUCGAUAAAAAAAAAUGAAACGGUCAUGAAAAAAAUGAUGAUAAGAGAUAAGAUUCAUCCCAGUGAUGAAUAAAGAUAACAGCUGAAGAAAGAGGAAGAGGAAGGAGUUGAGUUAUAAAGAUAACAGCUGAAGAAAGAGGAAGAGGAAGGAGUUGAGUUGGUUUGAGGUGGAGUCCAUGCACGACAAUGAAGAAAAAAAAUUUUGUGGCAAUUUUAGGAGAAAUAAUAUAUAGAUAUAGAUUAGUCCUUACGUAAAGAGUUAGAUGAUUGGUAUUUAAGGUUUAAAAUUCAAUGUCUGAUUGUUUUAAGUUUUUAUCAGAGUUUCUCUAUUAAGAAAGGAAUAAAGUGAAUAGAAUAUUAUUGUUCUCUUUCUCUCUUAAAAAGCAGAAAAAAAUUACUACAUUAGUGUAAUAAUUGAAAAUAUUGAUGAAAGGGAAAGGGUAAGGAGAGCAGAGGCAUUUGCUUCACAAAGAGCACUUCCCUGUCUAUCAAAAAGAGCGAUGACAUAAUUGUAUCUUCCUUUUAAUUUAGACUAUUUAAGAAAGAAAUAUAGAAAAAUUAGUUCCAUGUUGCGAAGUCCAAAAAGAUUGGCGCAUGAAAAAUUGUUCAAAUGAUAUCAGAAUUAAAAACUAAUAUUCAAGUAAUUACAAUACUAAAAAAUUAACUCAGAAUUAAGAGUCCAAAAACGACUCAGGAUAAAGAGUCAUGUGCCCUAUUAAAAGUAAAAAAGUUACCCACCAAAAAUAUUCGCUUGCUCUGAAACUUUUGACCUUUCUACUAUGUGUUGUAUUACUUCAAGGCCUAGUUGCCACACCAUACUGCCGAUAGUGGUAGUAUGCUAUCUUUUUUUAUUAAUAUUAUAUAUAUGUGUGUGUGUGUAGCAAGAGAGCCUAACUGCAUGAAACUUUUCACUGACAAGUUAAAAGGGAGCACCAAAGUAGUACGACCAGGGAAAGCUCGGGAUUGAAGGUUGUUGAGCCAUAUGGCUCGGCGGGAGGAGUGGAAGUUGUUGAAUCAUAUGGCCGGGGAGUUGUUGUGCAAAAAUAUUUUCUGCAGCGGUCAGAUUCGCUGCCCCGCAAAAAACUACUUCUAGCGGGUUGACCCCGCAAAAAACUACUUCCAGCGGGCCUUGUACUAGUGCUGCAGCAGCAGGACGCACUGUAGGAUCUUCCAACUCCAAAUCGUAAAUCACACCCAUAUGCUUCUCCAUGCGCGUGUCGUCCGCAGCGAAACAGACCUGUUUCAUUCUCAUAAAGAUCUGCAGCAUCAGUAGCGAAUCCGAUCCGGCCUGGUGCCUCCUCCCAACCAUCCGCUCCACCCGCAAUUGCGUAGCCACGCUCUCGAGCCCUCCGUAAAGUCCGUCGCAGAAUUUUAUCAUAUGCUUCAUAUCGUAAGCGCGCGGUCCGAAGAAGUGCUUGAGCACUAAGAGGAAGUCUUUCAUCUGCAUUGGUAGGUCGAUGCCGGUGAGAGUUUUCAUAACGUACGCGAAGUCGGAAGAGCCAUGAAAAGUUAUCCACGUCACGUUCGGGUUGUAGAGGAGGCCUGACGACAGGAUUAGCCUUCUGAAGUGGCGGAAGUCGACACCGUGGGUGCGGAGCGCCGCAAAGUUUACUCCUUGAUCUUGUAGCAUCUUUAUGGAGUCGGCAUUGUGAGCGUGGCAUCGUAGGUCGAAGUUUCGGAAGUUGAACUCCCAGAUGAAGUGCGCGGCACCGUUCGUGCCCAGGUCAGGAAGUCGGCCGUCGGCGUCGGAGAGGGUGAGACCCACCUGGAUGAGGCAAAGGUUGUCGACGUUCAUCUUCAGUAGAGCGUACCUCUUCUCCGACGAGAGACACCAGGGGUUGGUCUUGGACUUGAAGACGACACCAGGAAACUCCGUAUCGAUCGCGACGAAAGGGUACUGCUUAACAAGAGAGCGGAUGAGGGAGAACUCAUAGUCGAUAUUCCCUGCCCAAACCGACCGAACAUGCACGUUCAAAGAAUUCUUCAUCAUCUUCUUCCUAGCCUUAGUAUCUUCUCUCUCACGAAGAAACAUGUCUAUGUAUGUAGGUUUGGCGUAAAUAUAUAAUACAACAAUGCCUACUCUGACUAGGAUUUGAUUAAUUUUUCGUGUAUUCUAAAACUGAGUAGAAUUAUGAUAAUUUUAGAUUUCGGAAGCAUUUACGAUCACAUCGAUCACUCUUAAAUCCUAAUUCCAAUUGAACUACCGUCCCUAUAUUUAAGAGUCCUGAAAUUCUAAUGCGUAGAUAUAAGCCUAAACGGAACAGGCGGAAGCUCCACCAACCCGAAUCCAUUUGCAUCCCUAGGCUGAGCUGAGUUGGAGGUCUACGAGACGCAUUCGUACACCCGGUGCUGGCAACAAUUUCUCCCUUUUCUAUCCAUUACUCCAGUAACUCCAAAAAGCACUCCCCCACUCUCCCUCUCUCUCUCUCUCUCUCUCUAACACACACGCACACACACUCUCUCUCUCUCUCUCUAUCGAUAGAGAGAGAGAAAUGGCGAUGACCUCCUCUGGAGGAGGAAACGCGCCCGAUGCGAAGGUGGAGACGAUCUCGCGCUUGGCGCAGUGGCGGAUCGAGAGCUUCGGCCCCUCCUCGUACCGACGAUCCGACCCCUUCAAGCUCGGAUUCUGGAACUGGUCUCGUUCGAUUCUCUUCUUUUCCCCAAUUUUUUAGGGUUUAUGUUUUAUUUUGUGUUUAUGUUUUUUUUGGGUUCUUUUCGACUAAAUUAUUGAAAUAUUAGGGUUUAAUUGCAUAUAUGCAUCUCUAGAAAGUGAUAAAUUCGCAUAUUUAUUCCUAUAUAAUGUUUUAGUUAUCGUCAUAUAUAUAUAUAUAUAUAUAUAUAUAUAUAUAUCCCUUCUUACUUGCAUAAUUUGCAAAUAUAUAUCCCUUUCUCGUUAGUCGACCUGUUAAAUUUGUGAUAAAUAUGUUUUUGUUCUAAGUUUUAGAAAAACUUUUUUUUUUGAGGGCAUUGCAUAAUUUGCAAAUAUAUCCCUUUUCGUUAGUUGCCCUGUUAAAUUUGUGAUAAAUAUUUUUUUUGUUCUAAUUUUUAAAAAUUUUUAAACAAACUUUUUUUUUUUUUGGGAGGAUAUAACAGUUUAAAUGGUAAAAAGUUAAGGGGUAGUCAACCUAUAGUAACAACCUAGUUAAGGGCCCGCGCAAUGCGACGGGAAGGUAUUAUUACAAUAUACAGUUUCAGCUACUAUAUUUUUAUGAGUAUAGACCCUUUUCUACUCAUAAAUUUUCGGAUUAAUUUUACGAUAAAUUCCAGAUUUAAAUUCAAAAUUUUGAAAUUUUAUUUUGGGGACUAAAGUGAAAAAUAAAGUUUAGAGACCAAAAUUGACACGCAAAAAAAAUCUAAAUAGACGAUGGUCCGAUAAUAUCAUUAAAAUCUAAAAUCUCUUUUAACAGUGCUAUUUUUAUUGCGAUGAAAUCAAGAGAUUUAAAAUUUUGAUUGCAAAAAAGUAUUAAGGACCAAAAAAAAACAGUGAAAAGCUAGGGACCAAUGUGCGGUUAAUUCUUAAAAAAAUUGCUGUGGGCCCCACAGCCCCCCAAAAUAAGGGGAGGCCUUCAUUAGGAUUCACAAUUUAUCUUUAUAUAAUAAUAAUAAAGAUUAUAUCAAGAGAUUUGAAAAUUUGAUUGUAAAAAAAAUAAGAUUAGGGACAAAAAUAAAAAUAGUGGAAAGCUUUGGGAUCAAUGUGCAUUUAAUUUUAAAAAAUUUGUAUGUGAGUGGGCCCCACACCCCCCCAAAAUAAGGGGAGGGCUCCAAAAGGUUGCCCUUUCAUGUAUGGAACUAGACCAAAUAAAUAGGGGAAAAUUAACAGAAUACUUUAGGUUAGCAGCAAUCCACCCUCAAAAUCGCUUCAUAACCAUUAGCCAUACACGUGCAAACCCGCAAAAAUUUUAAUCAGAGCAAACACAACAGCAUGCACCAAAAAGGAUAUAAGAGUAAGCACAGAAGGAACACAAAAAAAUACAAACAAAAAAAUCAUUAAGUAUCUGAACUUUUUACCUAUCAAUUAGCUGCAACGCUCAGAAAACCGGCAAUCAAAAGCACCAAAAGCCAAGAACAAUAGAGCAAAAACUUUUAAAAACAACGAGAAUUAGCUAAGUGCACACAAAAGGAACAUCAAUUGCUUUAGUAUUUAUGACUAGCAAAGCCAAAAGCCCUAAAGAGAUGAAAAGCAAGCAGAGUACAGUGAGAGAGGGUAAAUCAGGGAGAGGGAGUACGGAGGUCAGAGGACCAAGGAUGAGAUCGGCGGCAGGACACCGAACCUCGCCGGCCAGACGACGCAUUAAAUAUUAAAUAAUGGCGCAUGAAAGCCCCACAGGAAAGCACACAUAGAAGAGAGAGAGCGAGCGAGCGAGCGAGAGAGAGAGAGAGAGAGAGAGUGCCAUGCCAUACGGAAGCCCGACUGCGAUCACGGAGGGCAACAGACCACCGCAGUGUAGGCGGAGACAAAAGAGAGUGUAAACCGCCACAACAGAUAGGACAUCACAAUGGGGAAAAAAGAUGCCGCUGUAUAUACCCCUCAUUAAUGCUCUUUAAUGAUAAUGAACACCAAACAGGCCCCAUGACCCCAAACCACAGGGAGAAUUUACGCUGAAAUGUACAGGAUAGCACGUGCGGUGGAGGAAAUUAUCUGGCCCACACCGCCAACGGCAUGGCUGCAGGACUCGCUGUCCUACCAUCUGUACGACAAACCGGACGGGAUGGACGGGCAUACGUGGGAGAGAGAGUGAGAGAGAACUCCACACCGUACAGAGCGAGGGCUGUGUGCGAGGGAGAAAGUGAACCACCUCAGCGAAGACGGAGAGGAAGAAGUGAGAGCGAGGGGGGAACUCCGCGUUGUACGAAAAGAUGGCUGCGUUCCAAAGGGAGAAGGUGGACCACUACAGUGAAAGGCGGAUGAAGAGGAAAAAGUCGCAGAGCCCCCAUUCGGUCACCGCGCGGUCCCCACAGCACCGCCAAACGCGGGGCGGGCUUCUUUAGGGCUUCGCCUUGAUGAGUUUAUAUUGAUUUGCAGAUUUUUGAAGUUUUAGAAGAAUAUAUUUGGUAGUUAAAACUUUACAGGAAUAAAAUCCACAAUUUUAAAACUUUGUAGGGACACAUGUGAAAUAACCCCGACAAAAAUUAUAUGUAAUAAUAUAUGAAACUUACGUGACCUAUGAACUAUUUUGAUUAGUCAAACUGUAAAACUUUUUAGUUUUUUGAAAUUUUAUAUGUAUCCUGCAAAAUUGCAGAUUUAUUCCUGCAAAAUUCUAGUUAUCAAAUAUAUUCCUUUACCGUUUGGUUCAGGGUUAAGGAAAAACUAGUUAUUCCAGGGAUAGGGUUAAGUUUAGGGUUAAGGUGGGGUUAAAGUAUUUUUGUGUUUGGUUGGAGGUUAGAGUUAAGCCAGGAUAGUGAAAAAUAGUGUUUGGUUGGAGUAGGUAGGAUAAGAAGGAUAGUGGGUUAUUAUGAAUAGAAAAUAAUGUUUGGUUGGGGUUUGGUGGGGUUAAGUCGGGUUAGCUAACCCGGGAUAAACCAUUUGAGGUGGGGUUAGCUGGGGUUAGCUAACCCCACCCAUUUUUAGAAGUGUUUGGGGAUAAAAUGGGGGUUAAGGGGUUAUUCCACCCCUUAACCCCCAACCAAAUGGAGAAGCUUCAAAAUAUGCAAACUUAUCCUUCCAAGUUGAUGAUUAUUAGUUGACUGUUAAAUUUUCACCUUUAAGACAGUUAUAAUCUUGUAUAAAAGUAUACUUCAUGAUGUGGAAUUUAAAAUUAAAAUAUUAAAAAUGAUAAAUGAUGUUAAAUAUAAUUUAAAAGGUAUUUAUUGAAGGGUAGAAUGGUCAUUUUAUAGAAAAAAGGUCAAUUUUAACUAUUCAAUCAAUAGAUAUUAGAGAAGAAUAUUUUUGCAAAUUAUGCAACUCUGAAGAGAUAUAUUUGAUAACUAAAAACAUGCAAUUUCAUUGCUUUGUAAGGAUAUAAAAGCAGUUAACUCUACAUUUUACUGCUCAGGAUUGCUGGUCCAUUCGUUAGCUCCUAUUUGUGGUACACAAUUUUGUGGAAUGUAGGUAGUGGUUAUGACCGAUUCGAUACAAAAGAAGGAAUUGUGUGCAUUUUUCGUUGGGUAUUUCCUGGAAUAAAUCAUCAAAUCUUCCUUCGCUUCCUUUUGAUUUUAGUUAUUUGAUGACUCUUUUGUUACAAAAUUUGGAUACAUUGCUUGUUGUACUAAACGAUUCAUUCAAAUUUUAAACGGAAAAAACCAUCAAAUGACUUGAAUCAAAUAGUAAAAUCAAAAUUUUGAAUGUUGUGUAGUCUAAUUAAAAUGGGUUUGCUUAAUAUACUUUCACCUUAAAAAUAUACUUCCUGUUUAGCUCAUUCCCAUGUCUCAGUAAUAAUAUGAAAAGGGAAAAAUAUGCCUGACCCUCUCGAAGUUUGGGUCGGCUACCCUUAGCUAUCCAAAGUUAAAAAAAAAAUAAUUAGAAGAAAUUUUAAAAAAAUUAGCCAGAAGAAAUUAAUUUAGUUUAAUUAACUACUCAGACUCAGUUUCUGAGAAGUUCUGUAACUAAUUAUAGUUUGUGAUAGUCAUUUAUGCCCUAAAAGUUUUAUGUUUAUUUGUUUUUCAUUUGAAUGCCUACGCGAAUUUAGAGGUAUUUGAAUUAUUUGAUCUUUAUAUAACUGUUAAUUAUGAUGAAAAACUAAUAACAUUAGUGUCAAGUGCUAACUAAAAUGAGUCGGAAGCUAACUUAAGCUUUUUUUUUUGGAUAAAAAUGUAUGGAGACCCCUUUAAGUUAGGCCGUUUUGAAAUGGCCCUCUCAGCUUCAUUUAUUUUGAUUGACGCUCUUUACUUUUUGAUUUUUUGCAAUUGAGUGAUUUUAGUCAAUUAAAGUUGUGAUUUUCUUAAAUUUAUUGGUGAUGCUAUCAAAUUGUGUUUAUAAUCACUUUUAAACAAAUACAAUUGAAACAAUUAAAGAAAAUAGUAAAUGGAGCCAUCAAAUUUAACAAAAUUUCCAACCUAGUUAACUCAAAAAAUUCAAAUCAAAACAACAAGACGUCAAAGGGUGAUCGAUCAAAGAAAUGCACAUUUUUUAUCUUCUACUAAAGAAUUUUUAAUGUUUGGUUGAGUAAGUUUAAUCCGACUGAAAUUUCAGGGGAACCAGCAUAUUCUUUUACCUAGAAAAGAUUGCACCAAUUCAUCUUUGCAUUUUAUCAGUAUCUCAAACAGUUUUAAAAAAUUGGAAUGAUUGUUGUAUUCGGAAGCAAAACUUUAUGAAAAUGAGCUGCCGUACAAUUGUGGGUAUAUUUAAUGCAGCAGAAAAGCAUAAAUUCAAUUAAUUUCGGUAGCUCUAGUAAAGGAGAUAUUUUGUUUUAGUUUUGGAACUAUUACAUUGGUUGUAAUCUGAAAAGACGUUUAUGAAUAGAGCCGAUGUGAUAUACCAUCUCAAGUUUUCGAGUCUAUUUUAGACAAUGGUAAAGUGCAGGGUUGUAAUUGGUGUAAUUUUUUAUGCCAGUGGUAAUUAAGACACAUGCUAAAGUGGAAGAAAUUAACCCUGUUUUCUCAUUUUGUGAACCGGUUCAGGUAUUUAUCGGUCGAGAAGAACAAAUACAUGUACAUCCGCCUUUUUCCCGAACCAUGCCGGAUUUCUAAGGACCAGCCACCAAUCGCCCGGUUUGUGCUCCGUGUCUCAAGCCCUGGUCCUGGACGCCGCCCUUACAUCUCCCCAGGUAUAGGUUGGUUCCCUUUUCGGUGUGUUUAGUGUAUCGUUUUGAUUCUUCGCCUUAUGUUUGUGCCUCUAUUAGCGAAAUUUGUGGUAUUUAGGUUUUUUGAGUGUGUUAAACUCUGUAGUACAUUUUUAUUGGUUGCUGUGAUGUAGAUUUUAUUUGUAUUUACUCACUUUAACUGUCGUAUAAUUUAAAAUUUGCUAAUUUUGGAUAGGUACUGAUUGUAUCAGGCCACUGGGUGCUAAUUUCGUUUCUAUUUAUUGAUAUAUUCUAAGUACUUAAAUGUAUUUUGUGAACAGAUAUUUAGAUGUAGAAUGUAAAGCAACUAAGAUGAUUAAGAUUACAUUAGUUAUUAGUUGUAAAUGUAGAUACUUGUAUUUGAUCUAUUAGUAAAAAGAAAAUUUGUGAACUCCACUCGUAGGUAAAGCGUUAUAGUAUCAUUUUAAAUCAAGGACCUGUUUGGCCUGGCUAUGGAUUUUACUGCUUCUUCAGUAAGUGUUGUUUGAGAAGCUCUGUUAGGAGAACGCUAACGUAUAUUUUAUUAAAAUCUUCCAAUCUAUGUGCAGUACAGAAAGAAGCACCAAAUUCGUUCUUUUACUUUUAGGGUUCAGAAACUCAUUUCAAUUUCUUGUCGCAUUUGAAGCUCUAAACACCUUUUUGCCAAACAUUCUGCUAGAGGUGGCUUUAGCCCAAAGCAUAAAAGAAGCGGAAGCUGUGCCAAAUAGGCACAAAAUAGCUUUCUUGUUUGAUUUUACUAUUACACUCAAGAUUUGUUGAAUCAUGAUCAAUGAAUAUUAAUGUGUGAGGUAGCUUCAUUAUGUUUCUUCAAAGUUCCCCAUUUUCAUAUAUAUUGAAUUAGAUUAGACUCUUGAAAGAUGCAAGUCUCCACUAUGAUUUUAAAAUGUUUCUUGGGCACGUAAAUUACAUAUCUCAUCCCAGGAUCUUCUCUUUAUUGGUUGAAUCAGAUUGUUGAAGAUACUUAAUCAACAUCCUUCGUGUUUACCAACAAUUCAAUGAUAAAUCAUGUUGCGAGCUGGAAGUUUAGGAUAUAAUUGAAACCAGAACUUAUGGCAAACGACAAAAGAUAGAAGUGGCAAGUUGACUCGUCAUGUUCUCGUGGUUUGAAGUCAAAACUUCAUGUAAUCUUGGUCUUUUUGUUUGAUAAAAGAUGUUAAUUUUGGCACUUCAAUUUUAAGUUUCUGAUUUUCAUCAUAUCAUUCGUUUCCAAUUACCCCUCAUAAUCAAAAUAGAGACUAUCAUCUUGCGGUGAAGAUUGAAUUACAUCUCUCAGGGAAGUAGUAAUGUACUUUAUCAGCAGUACUAAAUUUUAAUCUCGACCACCUAUUGUUGUGACAUGCGAAAUGUUUGUUAUAUUUAACUACAACUGUAAGGAUCAGAAGAGUUCCCACUGAAAUAUUAGCUUUCUUCAUUUUCUUUUCUCAAUUUAUAGGCUUAUAUGCUUGUUCAUGAUGUUGUAAUUUCAUUGAUGAGACUGGCCAUUUGUUGAGUUGUAGUUCAUGAAAGACUGCUUCGGACCAGCGAAGACUUUGUCUGGCCAAUUGAUUCUGCCUUCCACGGGCGCUUCAUCAUCGACGUAGAAUUUCUAGACUUGAAGAUUCCAGCUAUUAAUGCAAGUUUUUCCUCUCAUCAUGUUCUUCAACCAGUAAUUUUAAGCACCUUUUGUGAAAUUUAGGCUCUGAUUAGAGUAAAUUACACCAUUGAUUCUUGACUGUUUAGCUUAGCUUCAUUUCGGCCCCUGACCAUUUAAUGUAACUACCGUCCCCCCAACCUUUGCAUUUUCGUUGCAAUAUUACACUUUUGCUAAAAUCCUCCAGCACAUCGAGCACAGUUGUUCGUGUAAUCACUAUCUAAUAACUGCCAUGUAAGUGACUUGGACUUACUGAUUUGCUGAUUCCUUGAGCAUUUAAGCUUUGUAGGGUUCAAUCGUUACAAUUAGCUCCUAAACUUUGCACCUCUCAUUGGGCGAUGCCAUGGGCAUUUUCAGCAAAUCCAAAAUGCAAAGGUUAGAGAUCCAACUAUGGGAAAAUAUUGCGGACCAAUCUGAAACCUCUAAAAUGGUCGGGGGCCCUAGUGCAAUUUAUUCGUGCUUUCAAUCUCAAUUAUUUUCAUUGCAGGGUGGGGAAGCCUCUUCAAUAUGGCCAAACGAAAACAUAAUGUACUCUCUCUCAAGCAAAAGCACUCUCCAUUGCCUCUCCCGCAUGCUUCUCGAGGGUAUACACACCGACGUGACCAUAAACACUGCCGACGGCGUAUUGAAAGCCCACAAGGCCGUUCUCUCUGCCACUUCCCCCGUCUUCGCGAGCAUGUUCCUGCAUGACCUCAAAGAGAAAGAAUCCUCAACAAUAAAUAUAGAGGACAUGUCCUUCGAAUCGUGCUCCGCCCUUCUCAGCUACAUUUACGGCACCAUCAAGCACGACAUGUUUUGGAAGCACCGGCUCUCUCUUCUCGCCGCGGCGAACAAGUACGACAUCGGGGACCUCAAAGAUUGUUGCGAGGAGAGCCUUUUGGAGGACAUAAAUUCGAGCAAUGUCUUAGAGAGGCUUCACGAAGCUUGGCUUUAUCAGUUGAGUAAGUUGAAGAAGGGGUGCCUUACUUAUUUGUUCGAUUUCGGGAAGAUAUAUGAUGUGAGAGAGGAGGUCAGCAGCUUCUUUCGCCAUGCGGAUAGAGAGCUGAUGUUGGAGAUGUUUCAAGAGAUACUUACCGUCUGGAAACCGAUGUGAUGCAGAAAUCAUCUCCUGCACCGGCAUUGAAGAAGUGCAACCGCUGCAACCAAUAAUUCUCAAGAAGCCUGCAAAGUUGAAGAACACAUCAGGUUUCCGUUGUUAAAUAUAGACUGGUUUAGGCAUCUUUUGUACUAUGAAGUGAAGUGCGCGGCGCUUUGUGUAUAGCAAACAAUUCAGUUGUUUUAUGUUAAAAAUUGAAAAAUCUGCUACAUCGGUGCGCGAAGAAGAUCUUUUGUUCAUCAGGUAUGGUAGAUGGAAGCUUAGAUUCCUACUUGGAAUAUUUAACAGCUGAUAUGUCUUUCAAAGCCUGUAUUUGUUGGAAAGUAUGGCUAAUUUGUUUGGUUUCUGCUAAGACUACUGGAAUCAGAGAGAACUUAGUAAUGCUAUUUUAGUUGAUUGUAUACAUUUUUUUUCUGUCAUUGUAAUUGUUCUUCUGUUGAUUUGGUUCACCAGUUCAUAUCCCUUCAUUUGAUUGUUUUGUCCUUUAACAAUAAAAGGGCCUUUAUUUUUUUAAUUAUUUUGUCCGUUCGGUUUUAAGAAAGAUAAACUUCUAUGAAUUUUUGUUCCGUAUUUUUUUUUGAAAAUUAGUGUUUUUUGUUUUUCUAAAGAAGAAAAUCUGGAAAUUGAAAAUACUAGUUUUUUUUUAUAAAAUAUGAAAAAAAAAUUAAAAAAUGCUUAAUUUUCUUUUAAGCUAACCAGGCCAAAAAUUCGAAAAGAAGUUUUCCAUUAAAAAAAAUUUAUUGGAAAACUUUUUUUUCCACAUUUUUCUAAGGAAGGGGCUAUUUGGUUUCUCGAAAAAGUGUGAAAAAUAUUUCUAAGAAAAAUAAUUUCUAUGAAAAACCCUUCAGUCUCUGUGGUUCACUGGUUCUAAGAAAAACUAGCAUUUUUGGAAAUUUUUUUUUCCGAAUUUAACGGAAAACUAGUGUUUUCAUUUUCCAAAUUUUUUAGGAAAACGAAAACGUUAGUUUUUCAUAAAAUUUGGAAAAAAAAAAAGUUUUUCAAAAAAGCUAGUUUUUCUUUGUAUCAAAUGGGCGAAGACUGAAAAAAUUAAUUUUUAUGAAUUUAUUUGAAUUUAUUUUUGGAAAACUUCUUCCAAACUUUCUGCAUGAGCCAAACAGCUCCUAAACGAACUGGGCCAUUCACAUUCUAGAGCAGAAUGGAAAUGAGAAUCCGUUUCCUGUAAAAUAAAUAAUUAUCGAAAUUAGUGAAUCUCCUUCCAAUUAAAGAGUUUAAAAUAGAUGAACCAAAUAAGCUCUAAACUUGUUGUUGUAAGAUGCUAAAAUAAAUUUUUGGGCUAAAGAAGCUCUAAUUUGAUUUUUUUUUUAAUUUCUCUACACCAAAAAAGAGUUGGAGGGCUUUGGUGAAAAUUAUAUUAGUGCUUUUUGAGUAAAUCUAGGCCUCAUGUUUGAGAUAAAAUUGUUAUAUUAGUACUUAUAUAUAUAUAUAUAUAUAUAGAGAGAGAGAGAGAGAGAGAGAGAGAGAGAGAGAGAGAGGGGGUGGGGGGCUAUUAGAAAUACGGAGGCCUCCGUGUUCCUAAACCAUUUUCGAUGAUGUAACUUACAAAUUGAUUAUCGGCUCCGUUAAACUUGAUCUAACGUAUUUGAAAUAUUUAGAAAAUAAAUUUUAUGGUUUUUCAAGAUCAUUUACACAACGAUUGAAAAUAUUCAAAAUCAAUUGCUGAAAAUAAAAAUCUCAUAAAAAAUAGUGAUAUAACACUAAAAUUUUCAUUCAAAGAUAUUGAUCUUUCGGUAAAUAGUAUAAAAAAUUUUCUAUCAAAAUUUCAUAUGAUUUAAAUACUUCUACACUGUUAAACUUGUAAACGAUAUAUGUCAACCAUUAAAAAUUAUUGAUUUUAAACCUUUUCGAUCGCUAGGUAAAUGAUAUCGAAAAACCACAAAAUUUAUUUUCUAAAUACUUCAAAUACGUUAAAACAAAUAUAACGGAGCCGAUCAUCGAUACGAAAGUUCCAUCAUUGAAAACGGAUUAGGAGCGCAGAGACCUCCGUGCUCCUAAUAACACACAAGAUCUACUAUAUAUAUAUAUAUAUAUAUAUAUAUAUAUAUAUAGAGAGAGAGAGAGAGAGAGAGAGAGAGAGAGAGAGAGAGAGAUGAGCUGGAAUACUAUUAAUUGUAUUUGAGCUCUUUUAUUAUCGAUUUUUCAGCCAUUAGUCUACACUUUAAUCAACUCCACCCUUUAGAUUAUACUAUUCAACCAACCACCCACUCAACCCCAGGAGUACCAUCACUAAACCCUAGGACCCCGUUUGGAUUGGGUAUAAAGCUUAGUUAGUUAAUUCACGAUUAAUACGCGAAUUAUUCGCGUAUUUUUUUAAGAUACGAAUUAAACGGCGAAUUUCGUAUUUUUCCCAAAAGUUUGAAAAAAAAACGCAAUUUUUUUGUCAAAAAUCAUUAUUCGCGAAUUAAUCACAAUUCGCGAACAAUUAGCCCAAAAAAUCGGCGAUCGCGGUCGCGGACUUGCGGCCGAGGGUCGCAUCGUCGCCGCUCUUGUCGCCGAGCUUGUCCGUGUCAUCGUCGUCCUCCUCCGCCGCCCUCGCCGGCGCCGGGAGCAAGGGCCGUAGCGGCGGAUCCCACCUUCUCGCCCGAGGCCGUCUCCGAAAAUGUGGAAGAUGAACAGUAAAGACAUUGGGGCUUUUGGAGGCUGGGAUGAUGCGCGGUCCACGAGGCUAUUUCAGCCUCGUGGACCACAUGAGGGGGAGGUCCACAUGGACCUCCCUCUCAUGUAUAUAUAUAUAUAUAUAUAUAUAUAUAUAUAUUUAUACAAUUCUCGUAAAAUAAAUUUAUAAAGUAAUAAACUAACUUAAUUUUAAAGUCAAAGUGUGUUAACUUUCUCAAUCAAACAAAUGAAAGGCUUGAUAAUAAUCAAAAAUUUGAAGGGAUGGAUAAUUGAUACAUAAUGAUCCAUAGUUGAGGCAAGUUCUUAUAUUAUUACCUUUAAUUUAUUAUAAUUUUAACUUAAAUUUUUAUAAAUUAUAUAAUUUAAGUUUACGAUCAAAUUUAGUUGACUAAUUUAACGUUGAUAUGAAGUAACAUAACAUUUUAAUUAUUAUGUGUCAUCAAUCAUAAUAUAUACUAUCAUAUCAUCUUUAUAUUUGUUACAUAUUAAUGUUUAGCAACUAAAUUGAAUUUUAUAAUUUGACUGCAACUAUCAAAAAGUUCAAAACUAAAAUUAUAAUAAAUUAAAGUUUGAGAGCCCAAAUUCACACAUCUCAUUGUUUGAGGACCAAAAGUUAAAUUUAGCCAAAAAUAUCGUUUGUAAAAUGGAAAAAAAAAUGCUUUAUACCUGAAAGAUUCUAUUUUGAUUGAAUUAUACAUUUAAGCUUUAGUAAAAUUCUAUUUAGUCACUAUUAUCAAUUUAUUUUCAUUAGCCAUUUAAACUUAAUUUUAUUUAAUCAAGUACUUUGUUAAAUUUUUUCAUUUUUAAAUAAAAUAACAUAAAAAUAGUUAAUAUAAGUUAGGUCUCAUAGUUUAUAGAUGACAUGAUUGUUAAUUAUAACGCGGAAAUGAUUUGACUGUUUUAUCAUUAUUAAAUCAUCUUUUCGAAAUAAUAUAAUACAACUAAAUAAUAAUAAUUUUUAGAGAAUAUAAUAAUCAAACUUAAUAAAUUAAUUAUAUAAUUAUUAUUUAUUAUUAUUUCCUGCAUAGAAUUAGGUUGUAAUCUUUACUCAUCAUAAAAAAAAUAUUGAAAUUUAUAUUCGUUGACUAAUUAAACAGAAAGUGAAAUUUAAUGUAUUUGAUUGAAAGAAAUUAGAAUUGGCCUAAUAAAAAUAUCACUAAAAGCUCGAGAAAGACGAAGUUGCUGCUAACCAUUAAUUUCAAAAGCUCGACCAGUCUUACGCUACUUUGAACAUUAUUCCGUCAAAUCGCCUCCUGUUGCAGGGCAAGAUCGCCUCAUGCCAUUUCGAAAUAUUACCAGCCCAACCCAACUUCCGUCGUAGAGCGGAUAAUUAACUUUUGUUAAGCAAAUAAUCUUCCUCAAGCAUUUGCACAAAUUUACAGAAUGCGAGAAUUAAACCAAACCUCUGGCCUGAUAUCACUUUCUGACCAUUGGCUUUAACCAUUAAUCCCAAAAGUUCGAUUUGUUAAAAAUACACAAUAAUUCUCUUAAAGCGUUAUAAAUAUAAUACCACGAGUCUCAAUUGUAAUUUGACUCAACCAGCCUCAUACCAUUUCAAAUAUGACUCGCCAAUCCAGUCUCACCUUAUUUUGAAUGUGACUCGACACACCUUGGCCUCCGCCCAUGAGUGGGAUGCUGACCUUUUUUUUUUUUUUUUGAGAGAUAGUAGCACGCUAUCCGUUUCGUUUAUUUCAUUUAGAAAUAAACUUAGCUGUAAAUAUUAAUCUAUUAUGAUUCGAAUUGGCGUUCGGAUACCAACCACCAAGCCUUAGCCAGGGGAUGCUGACUUUUUUAAGCCAACAGACUAGUGAUACAAUUUAUCUUUACACAUAUGAAUCUCUACAAAUUUUGUGAUCAAAUAUUCAAAAAAUGUUACACACAAAAAGUCUUUUUGCAACAUUAUAACAUAAUAUAGGUCUUUUUAUAUUUUAUCUUUUUUUUCAAUUUUUAUUAUACUUUACUAUUAGAAAAUAAAAAUACUAUAAUAAGAGGCCUUAAGGCGUGCAAUGGGCUCAAAUAAUUGUUUUUUCCUCCUAUUAUAUCACGAAUUUGUUUGACAAUAAAGAGAAUAGAAAAAACUUCAAAAACCCCCCUGUUGUUUUAUAGUUCUAUCGCCUCUGUGGUUUAAAAUAUAUCAAUUGCCAUUCUGUGGUUUCUUUUUUCUCUUUUUUAUCAAUUUCAUUAUUUUUUUUUCUUAAAUCAGUAUAAAGUUAAAAUUAAAGAGUACUAAAGUGAAUAUUAAUAAAUCUAGAUGGAUAUCUAAAGUGUUUUUUAUAUAUAAUUUAAUGAAUAUUAACGAAAAAGCUACCGAAAAGAUAAAAACGAACCACAGGGAAGCAAAUUAAUACAUUUUAAACCACAAGAGCAAAGUGAGAAACGACAAAUCACAUGGGGGGUUGUUGAAGUUUUCCAAGAAUAAGAUGUGUUAACUUUUUCCUUAUUUGUCUCUUCGAAGAAGACAAGUUUGCACUAAAAUAAAUAAGGACAUGCUUCUGCAACGCAUUCAUUCAUCUAAAUUAGACAAAAAAAAAAAAUAAAAAAUUAAUCUGAAUUAUAAAUUUUUUAAAUCAGCUAUCUAAGUUUUAAAAUUUUAAUUUACAUUUAAUUGUCCUAUUUAUUUAUUUUAAAUUUAACUAACUACUUAUUUUAGAAUUAGUAUAUUUAAAAUUUGGUUAUGCUGAAAAUAAAACAAAGCAUUCAAAUCUAUAAUUGACUAAAUAUGUAAAAAUAAACAAAGCAUUCAAAUAUUUUUAGCCAAAGUACAUUUAUUACUCAAAUUACUAAAUUUAAAAUUUUCAAAUAAUGAAUAGUCAACGUAAAAUGAUCUACAGUUUAGAUAAAAUUUGUAUAUUUUACCAAAAAUACUAAGCGUAAAUAUAUAAUCCAUUAAUAUUUUUUCUCUUUUUUUAUUGACAAGUUUGUAGGGAUUCCAAACAUAAUUUUAUUAUCUAAAAGUAAAAAAAAGUGUCAGGUCAAAUACAAAAUUUUUUUACAAAAGAUUCCAACUGUUAGCACAAUAAUUAACAAGAAUCCUAAUUUAACAAUAGAAAAAAAAAAAAAAAAAAAAAAAAACAAGCAUAACCAAGCAGUACCAAUUGUGUGCUGUACUCUUUGCUAUUGAGUUUUAACCGUUCGAUAAAAAAUUAUAGGUUAGAUGAUAAGUGGUCUCUUAGCUUCGUUUGGCUCGGAAAUUAUAGAACUAGUUAUACGAGAUAGGUACAAGUAUGGAUUUUUAUAAGAUAAGAGUAUUUUUUUAUUGGAUGAAAUAUGAGUUAUAAGCUGGGAACUAGAAAAAUUGUGUUGGAUGCGUAUAUUGGGAAUAAGAGGAAUAGUUGUAGUUAUAAAUAGAAAAUAAUAAUAUUACCCCAUUAAUUGAAUUUAAAUUUUUAAAUUUUAAACUUAUCAUUUUAAAAUGAAAAUUGAAAUUUUAACUCUUUAAAUUUUAAAUUUGAAUCUAAAAAUUAAAAUGUUUAAUUUUCAAAAUUUUAAUUUUAAUAUCAAAUGUUUAAAAUUAAAAGACCAAAUUUAAAUUUAAAGAUAUAAAAUAGCAAUUUAAAAUUUAAAAGUAAAAUAAACAAAUUUAAAAUUAAAAAUUAAAACAAUAUCAAAUAAAAAAUUAAACUUUAAAAUUUAUAAUUUUAAAUUAAAAUUUAAAUUAAAAUAUAAAUUUUAAAAAUUUAAUUUAAAAUAAAUAUAUCUCUUUCUAUCUACCGGGGUGGAAUAACUUAUUCCGAAGUUUGCCCCUCGGGUAGGAACUGUUGUGCCAUCCUUACCGGUUAUACAAGUUGAUAACCGUAAGGAUGGCAACAACAUUCCCACCAUUUUUUUUUUUUUUUGUUGUUGGGUAUAAAGGGGAUAACCCCUUAUCUCCCUUUAUACCAUAGUAGUUAAAUUCGAUUCGGCAAAAUUCGGUAGUACGAUAUAAUUCGAUAAAAUUGUCUUUAAUUUUAAAACUUGAAAAAUACGGCUAAAAAACGGGUCUAAUAUAUUCGGAUACGUUAAUUUAUAGGAUAUUAUAGUUCACAAUAUAAAUUCGGCGAUAAAAAAUUCGGCCUAUAUAAUAAAUAUAUAAUAAUUAAUAUCACAUAUAUAUUUAUAUAUAUUUUAUAUAUAGAUUAAAUAUAUUCAUAUAUUAAUAAUAAAUUAUAUUUAAUAAUACAUAAAAUUAUAUAUUUAAAAAUAGUAAUAAAUAAAUUACAAUUUAUAAAUAAAAAUAUAUAUAAAUAUUUCUAUAUAAAAAUAAAAUAAUUAUAUAAUAAAUGAAUUAUAUAUUUAUAAAUAAAAUUAUAUUAUAUAUAUAUAUUUAUAUAUAAUAUAUAUAUAUAUAUAUAUAUAUAUAGUAUAUUAUAUAUAGGUUUUGCCUAGAUACUAUCAUAGUAAACGAGCCUUUUACUAACCUAAUUUGUUUCGAUGAUAGAGCUUUAAAUUGACGAUCGCGCUCGGUGAACAUGAUCUAUUACCAUUGAAGUGUUUAUAAAUCAAUUUCAAAUCUUUUCGACAUCAUUGCGAAUGAUCAAAGGUUUCAAAAUUUGAAUUUAAUGCGUCGAUAAGAGCUUUUCUGUUUAACGGCGUAAAAUAUCCAAAUCAAUUGAAUUUUGGUUAGAAAAUUCUUUAAACUAUUAAAAUAAGAUCUAUACUCUGAUUGUGAUUACAAGGCUUCCUAUCAUCAUUUUUUAAAGAAUAUUCAUUUCACAUUCAUUUUUCUGUUCACUUGAUGGAAUAAAAACAUUAUUGAAACUGCGUGAAAUUUGAUUCUAGUAGUUUAAAUAGUUUAGAUCAUAAAUUAACGGAGCCGACGCGUUAAUUUUGAAACUCUAUCAUCCAAAACAAUCGGUAGUAAAACGCUCGUUUAUAUUCGAUCAGUAUUUCUCAGUAACUCCUAAGGAAAAAAAAAAAAAAAAAACAAAACAAGCAUGUUUGGUUUCCUUUUGCAGCUAGCGAGUGGAGCACGCGCACUUAUUUUUUAUAGAAUUUCGAUAUCGGAGUUAGUAUUAUAAUAUUAUUAUUAUUUAUUUAGAGUUUUUAUAAUUUUUUGUAAAAAUUGAUAAUUAGAAACUGAUUUUUUAUAUGUUUUAGGAGCUGAUUCCGCGUGACUUUGACGAGAAACUUUUCGAGCCACUCUGAGGUGUUGUGGUUGCUGUUCAGACUAGCUAGAAGGGCAAUAGUGGAUCAUUUCGCUUUUUUGACUAUCAUUUUAUUCUUUAGAUUUGCGAUAAAGUUGGGCUCCGUGUCGUCAAAAUUGGCGGACUAACUCUUAUAUCCAUGUUAUAUUAUUUAGCAUAUAAAAUAAAUUAUAGACAUAGUUGAGAUUUGAGAUAAUAGUGAUAUUUUGAUACCUACUUAUAGAAUAUAUUGAGACAUGUAUAUUUUUCACUGUUAGUAUUAUGUAAUAUUGUCUUGGAGACAAUAGACAGCAACACAUAGUAUGAGAUCACAACUGUAUUUGAGACAUUAUAACA
This 21752-nucleotide long non-coding RNA is filed under the name Ananas comosus (pineapple). Its description in RNAcentral is "long non-coding RNA (ACOM_LNC008604)". Lineage: Eukaryota; Viridiplantae; Streptophyta; Magnoliopsida; Poales; Bromeliaceae. The record is from RNAcentral.